AUGGACGAGUUUCCAGCCAGAGUUACACCUGAUAUGAAUGGAAAACUGAUGCAACCCUUCUCAGGAUCAGAAGUGAAGGAGGCCAUAAACUCCAUAGGUGACCUGAAGGCGCCAGGCCCUGAUGGGAUGCCUGCGGUAUUCUAUAAACAUUUCUGGCACCUCUUUGGGGAUAAAAUUACCUCUGAAUUCUUUGCUUUUCUCAAUGUUGGGGGGUUACCUACAGAAUGGAAGAAUACUACCAUCUCUUUAAUCCCAAAGGUAAAGCUUCCAGAAAAGGUGAAAGACCUGAGACCAAUAAGUUUAUGUAAUGUUCUAUAG
This 318-nucleotide ribosomal RNA is filed under the name Triticum aestivum (bread wheat). RNAcentral's name for it is "partial small subunit ribosomal RNA". Lineage: Eukaryota; Viridiplantae; Streptophyta; Magnoliopsida; Poales; Poaceae. The record is from RNAcentral.